Molecule: long non-coding RNA, 367 nt
Filed under: Mytilus galloprovincialis (Mediterranean mussel)
Lineage: Eukaryota; Metazoa; Mollusca; Bivalvia; Mytilida; Mytilidae
Source: RNAcentral
UGUAAGUAAAAAAAAUGUCAGUUAGAAAAAAAUAAGUUUUCAUGCAAAUGGUAUACCAAAAAAAUCCUGCAUCAACACGAGACAACUGAACAAAAAAAAAUGUUUUAAUGCAAAUUCUAUACCUAAAAUGUAGAAAAUCCUGCAACUCAAUAAAAAAAAAUGUUUUUAUGCAGAUUUUAUACCCUGCAAACCCUGCAUCUACAACACAAGACAACUCAACAAAAAAAAUGUUUUCAUGCAAAUUUUAUACCUUGCAAAUCCUGCAUAAACUCAAAACAAGAAGACAAAAAAAAAAAGGUUUCAUAUUCAUUAAUUUGAUUCACUAAAUGGGAUAUACAUGUAUGUAUUCUUGGUGCAUUACAAACAC